Molecule: ribosomal RNA, 497 nt
Filed under: uncultured bacterium
Lineage: Bacteria
Description: partial 16S ribosomal RNA
Rfam family: Bacterial small subunit ribosomal RNA
Source: RNAcentral
GGUGAACGCUGGCGGUGGGCCUAACACAUGCAAGUCGAGCGGCAGCACAGGAAGAUUGCGCCCCUACCGUUGGCGACGGGCGGGCGGGUGAGGAGUGCAUAGGCUACUUCUUUGACUGGGAUGAUUUCGGGAGACAGGUGAUGCUACUAGCGCAUAUGUUGAACCGCAGGGAUCAGUGGUGAUAGACGGCUUGGCCGUCUGAUAUAGCUGAAUCCGGGUCGCAUUAGCUAGUUGGUAAGGUAACGGCUUACCAAGGCAACGAUGCGUAGCCGAUCUGAGAGGGUGAUCGGCCACACUGGAACUGAGACACGGUCCAGACUCCUACGGGAGGCAGCAGUGGGGAAUAUUGGACAAUGGGCGAAAGCCCGAUCCAGCAAUGCCGCGUGAGUGAAGAAGGCCUUCGGGUUGUAAAGCCCUUUUGUUGGGAAAGAAAAGCAGCAGGUUAAUCCACCGCUGUUCUGACGGUACCCAAAGAAUAAGCAACGGCUAACUUCGUG